AUUGAACGCUGGCGGCAGGCCUAACACAUGCAAGUCGAGCGGAUGAAGGGAGCUUGCUCCUGGAUUCAGCGGCGGACGGGUGAGUAAUGCCUAGGAAUCUGCCUGGUAGUGGGGGAUAACGUCCGGAAACGGGCGCUAAUACCGCAUACGUCCUGAGGGAGAAAGUGGGGGAUCUUCGGACCUCACGCUAUCAGAUGAGCCUAGGUCGGAUUAGCUAGUUGGUGGGGUAAAGGCCUACCAAGGCGACGAUCCGUAACUGGUCUGAGAGGAUGAUCAGUCACACCGGAACUGGGAACCGGUCCCGACUCCUAAGGGAGGCCGCAGUGGGGAAUAUUUGAACAUGGGCCGAAGCCCGAUCCAGGCCUGCCGCGUGUGUUAAGAAGGUCUUCCGAUUGUUAAGGCCCUUAAGUUGGGAGGAAGGGCAGUAAGUUAAUACCUUGCUGUUUUGACGUUACCAACAGAAUAAGCACCGGCUAACUUCGUG
Molecule: ribosomal RNA, 484 nt
Filed under: uncultured bacterium
Lineage: Bacteria
Description: partial 16S ribosomal RNA
Rfam family: Bacterial small subunit ribosomal RNA
Source: RNAcentral